GGGGGUAUAGCUCAUUGGUAGAGCUCUUACCUAGCAUGUGCCAGGCCCUGGGUUUGACUUCCCAGUACCAUCU
Molecule: transfer RNA, 73 nt
Filed under: Ictidomys tridecemlineatus (thirteen-lined ground squirrel)
Lineage: Eukaryota; Metazoa; Chordata; Mammalia; Rodentia; Sciuridae
Description: Spermophilus tridecemlineatus (thirteen-lined ground squirrel) tRNA
Rfam family: tRNA
About the family: Transfer RNA (tRNA) molecules are approximately 80 nucleotides in length.
Source: Rfam by way of RNAcentral